This 253-nucleotide ribosomal RNA is filed under the name uncultured bacterium. RNAcentral describes it as "partial 16S ribosomal RNA". It matches the Rfam family "Bacterial small subunit ribosomal RNA", at positions 524 to 776 of the family's 1533-position model. The record is from RNAcentral.
UACAGAGGGGGCAAGCGUUAUUCGGAAUUAUUGGGCGUAAAGGGCGCGUAGGCGGCCUGGCAAGUGGAAGGUGAAAUCCCUCGGCUUAACCGAGGAACUGCCCUCCAAACUGCUUGGCUUGAGACCGGGAGAGGUGAGUGGAAUUCCCAGUGUAGAGGUGAAAUUCGUAGAUAUUGGGAAGAACACCGAUGGCGAAGGCAGCCAUCUGGACCGACACUGACGCUGAGGCGCGAAAGCGUGGGGAGCAAACGGG